UGAGAACUGCCUUCUUUUUGUUUGGUUCCUUUAAAAAAAUAUUUUUUUACUUAUUUAUUUGCUGUUCUGGGUCUUCAUUGCUGUGCUCGGACUUUCUCUCUCAUGGCUAUUUCCAGACAUUUCCUGUUAAGAAGAGUACUAUAAAUAUUCUUGUACAUAAAUUCCCAUUGUCCCUAUAUACCAAUUUGGAUAUAAACCUGGGAGUGGAAAGCCUUGUCAUAGGAUACAGAACAAACUGGCUUAUUCUAAAGCAAAAGCCCCAAGCAGAGUGAAAAUAAAGUUUCCAGCUGUACACACUGGAGUGACUUACCCUUCUGCGUGGAGCACACUGGUUCCCAAAUGUUGAUUCUCUGAUCCAGCUGCCAAAAACCAUACUUAACUGACUCCAACUCUGAAGGCGGUGUAACAUGCUGGUUCAUUAUAAGGAUCAGUUAUCAAGCUUCUAUUUUGAGUUCCAAAAGCUAAAUCCCAAAAUUGACUUCAAGCUACAGAAUGAAAGGUUGAGAAAAGUUCAACUUGGAGACAACAGACCAUCUUACUACUGUUCAUGAGAGAUUCCUGCACAAGUUGAUCAGGAAGGUAUCAAUUCUCCAUGGGCCUGGAAUCAGGGCAAGCAGCCUUGGAAAUUUCAGCUGACUCUCACCAGGAAGGACACAAGCACAGCAUUUGGGUAACACAUUUAGCAAACUGAUAGGGCACUGAUUAGAAGGCAAUAAACUCCCUUCGUUGUACUAGCCAGUGGGUUCAGACUGGUGAGGAGGUGGCCUUGAACCCUAUCCUUUGGAGAAGACCACAGUCUCAGGGGAAAAGUCUUUAAUUAUUUUUUUCUGAGGCUUUAAAUAAACUAAAUUCUAUGAGAAGACAUGCUCAAAAUCCAACCAGAGAGGCGCCUGUAAUCUGCAAGUUUUCAGACAUUUGUUCUGAGGUCGAAGAGCUGCAAAAAAGAAAGGUGUCAGUCUCGAUUUGAGCUUCCGUGUUUGUAAACUCAGCCAGUUCAUGCCUGGUUGGUUAUGUCCUCGGGUCUUCCCUCAUUCGUGGUGGUAACUGCCAAAUCCUGGGCCUCCCACAAAGAUGUGAGGCUUCUGGAGGACAUAAUAAAUUUAUAUAAGAUUUGAAGUUGAUAAAUCCUUAAGUGACCUCUUCUAAAUUCUCUUCAUCCACGAUCUCAUCAAUUUAGCCAAAGUUUUGUGGUCGUUUCCCUCAUGCCAACAAACCAGUCAUGCGUGGGGACAAACUGCAUCCCCUACCAACUCGAAACAGAACUUCUCAUUCACUCUGUACCUAAGUAUGAGUCCCUAGUCUGUCCCAGGUACUCGUCUAGGUCCUGGGGAAGCAGCAGUGUACGAACUGAGGCUUUAACCCCCAUGGAGCGUCCCUUCAAGUUUUAGUCAACAAUUCACUGUGGAGACCAGAGAGAAGCAGAACAUAUAUUGAGGGACUAGACAUAGUUUUAAAACACCAGAGAUGAUGUUUAAAUGACCUUCCUUCAGCAAAAUUCACCUAGAAGAUAAGGUCUUUCUCUAAGGACUUUCAGAAAGCCUCUUUCUGCAUCUUGUUCUUCUUAACAAGUUCAGUUAUUGGCCCAGAUAGGCCCCAGUGCAGCCUGGGAAAGGCAAACCAGAGGAAGACAUUAUAUUGACCCCAAAUCUUCAUUCUUAAGUUAGACAAGUAGAGAUGGAUUCAUGAUAAUAUAAUGCUGAGACCAACUAUGUGAUUAAAAUUUUCCCUCAGAGAAUCCUCAUUUUCAGAUUCUCUUCAUUAAUAGAUUUUCUACAGAGGAGGAAUUUUAGCUGCAGAAGUUGCCAAUAAGCAAGACAUUUCCCAGGGAGAGUUUUACAUGCGCCUUGUAAACACCAGGACUUGUUGAUGGGUAAGUCAUGAGAAAUCUGAAUCAGAGCAUCAAGAGUCCAGAUAAAAGUUUCCAGCUAGUUAGUGGCUAACCAUGCAAGUGGAGUAGAGAGAUCAGAUAAGAUAAAUCAUGGAAAGCACUUUUUGGACUUUAGCCAGAAGUUCGCUUAUGACAUAGGAAAGAAUAGUUUCAGCCAAGAGGUGGAGAAAAGGCCUGGAUGCUAUGAGUGGAGGGGGAAGCCGAUAAUGAGGCAGGCGGAGAGGGAGUAGACUCCAUGAAGCGUGACGGCACUCACCUCCUAAUUUAUGUCCUUGCUUCUCCUCCAUCCUGCACACCUACACACUUGCUUCUAAAAUGUACACACUCAGGCCCAUAAUCCUUCAAUAGCACCCUUAUAACCUGCACAAUAAAUGUCAAACUUAGCAUAGAACACCCCUUCCUAGCCUGAACCUGGCUUACAGUUAUUUACAUAACUGCCAGUCUUUGUCACUGGGUUAUUCUCUGACAGACUUGCCCCUUAAAGGAAUGCACCAUCUCUUAUUUGGCAAUUUACGUCUCCCUGCCUCUAUCCGUUACGAAACAGCACUCAACUCACAUGGUUGAGUGAAUGGAAAAAUAAGUAAGAGAUAGAAUGAAUGAAUGAAUGAUACCAGCACUGACUGCAAGAAUGGGUUUCCGUGUCCCAGUAUGGCAGGUGAACAUAAUCUUUGUGAAAUGAUUGUCUUUCUCUUGUAAACGCCUUGAUGAGUUGGAACUAAAAAUCUCUAUAAAUCCAACAUCCUGCUGUUGCUCAGUCAUUGUCAGAGUGUUUUAAUUGGGUGGUUGGAGUUACCUUGAUGUCUCCUUAUUAUAACUAGACAAGUUCAACUGACAUGAAGAUUUCUGAUUGGAAUAGGAUUCUCUCGGCGAUAUGACAAGUGUGUCUGGAAGCCCUACCGUUUAGCAUGACACCAAGACACAACACAUGCCCGGUUCUGUCAAACCUCCGAGUCGUGCUUGUGGAAUCAACGGAAUCACCGGGAUGAUAAUCGACUCUGCUCUGUGAUUCCCCUGUUGGCACAUUUAUUUUAGCUUUGCUGGCAGAGAGGGAGGCUUGCUCUACUAAUUCACUGUGACGUUGUUUUUUAAUUAGGUGUCUUGACACAGCAGGCAUUCCAGUCUUGAACAUUUCUUUUGUUUCUUUAAUGUGCCAGCAAGCUGUCUGACUUUUAGCUGCCUGAUCUUUCAGAAAGGUUACCUGCAGUGUAAAAUGAGAUACCAGACGUAAGGCACCUUGUCCAGUGUUUGGCACCUGAGGGGUCUCUGAGAAUGUUCAUUAUGUCUCCCUGUUCAUCUUUGCCUUCCGUCCUUCUGCUGCUUUUAGUUAACCUUGGAGAUGAAACGUUAACUGGGUAAGGCUUACAAUUUUCUUCAUCCCAGAAGAGAGUCCAGUAAAUCUACAAACUGAGACUGCAUAGAUUCUGUAAAUAAAAUGGCCAC
Molecule: long non-coding RNA, 3328 nt
Organism: Bos taurus (domestic cattle)
Lineage: Eukaryota; Metazoa; Chordata; Mammalia; Artiodactyla; Bovidae
Source: Ensembl